CCUACGGGUGGCAGCAGUGAGGAAUAUUGGUCAAUGGCCGUAAGGCUGAACCAGCCAAGUCGCGUGAAGGAAGAAGGAUCUAUGGUUUGUAAACUUCUUUUAUAGGGGAAUAAAGGUAUCCACGUGUGGAUAUUUUCAUGUACCCUAUGAAUAAGCAUCGGCUAACUCCGUGCCAGCAGCCGCGUUAAUACGGUGGAUGCGAGCGUUAUCCGGAUUUAUUGGGUUUAAAGGGUGCGUAGGUUGUGUUUUAAGUCAGCGGUGAAAGUGUGUGGCUCAAACAUAAAAUUGACGUUGAUACUGGAAUGCUAGAGUGUGUUUGAGGGAGGCAGAAUG
This 333-nucleotide ribosomal RNA is filed under the name uncultured bacterium. RNAcentral describes it as "partial 16S ribosomal RNA". It matches the Rfam family "Bacterial small subunit ribosomal RNA", at positions 338 to 668 of the family's 1533-position model. The record is from RNAcentral.